This 500-nucleotide ribosomal RNA is filed under the name uncultured bacterium. RNAcentral's name for it is "partial 16S ribosomal RNA". It matches the Rfam family "Bacterial small subunit ribosomal RNA", at positions 30 to 523 of the family's 1533-position model. The record is from RNAcentral.
AUUGAACGCUGGCGGAAUGCUUUACACAUGCAAGUCGAACGGCAGCACGGGGGCAACCCUGGUGGCGAGUGGCGAACGGGUGAGUAAUACAUCGGAACGUGCCCAGUCGUGGGGGAUAACGUAGCGAAAGUUACGCUAAUACCGCAUACGAUCUACGGAUGAAAGCGGGGGACCGUAAGGCCUCGCGCGAUUGGAGCGGCCGAUGUCAGAUUAGGUAGUUGGUGAGGUAAAGGCUCACCAAGCCGACGAUCUGUAGCUGGUCUGAGAGGACGACCCGCCACACUGGGACUGAGACACGGCCCAGACUCCUACGGGAGGCAGCAGUGGGGAAUUUUGGACAAUGGGCGCAAGCCUGAUCCAGCCAUUCCGCGUGCAGGACGAAGGCCUUCGGGUUGUAAACUGCUUUUGUACGGAACGAAAAGGCUCUGGUUAAUACCUGGGGCUCAUGACGGUACCGUAAGAAUAAGCACCGGCUAACUACGUGCCAGCCGCCGCAGUAA